This is a long non-coding RNA of Halichondria panicea, 1316 nucleotides long. RefSeq lists it as uncharacterized. The record is from RefSeq and is a predicted model, not a curated record. The transcript has 2 exons. NCBI's taxonomy places the organism in Eukaryota, Metazoa, Porifera, Demospongiae, Suberitida, Halichondriidae.
AAGUAACCUAUCUUCGCCAGAUACCUAUAAUCGGCGGCUAUUGCACGAAGCACAAGACAAUUUUGCACAAAACUAACUACAUGGAUCUACAGAUGGGUAAGAAAGUAACAGCUCCCCAAAAUUUGGAAAGAAUAACUUGCUUGCGGAGGGAAUGGUGGUCAUGAGAAAUGAGCUGCCGAAUGUAUCGAUAAUCGUCAGUGAGACAUUUAUCUCCGUCUUUGCACGCUUACCAAGCACUGAAACUACCAACACUAAACAAUGCUUCUUGGCACAACUCUAACUAGUGAGCACUACUUGCAGGCAAAGCAUGCAGCGUUAGCUGCAGAUCGAGCCCCACCCAGCUAGGCAUGACGUAGCCUCGAUCCCAGGCCGAGUUUUCGCUUUUAUAACGGUUAGGCGAACAACUGGGCCUGGUACUAGUUGUCUGCGCAUGCGUCAAUCGUUUGUCAGAUUCUGACGAAUGGAUAUUCUCGUUCACUUUCGUGACAUUUAUAUUCGUGUACUAUCGUGUACUAGAAGUCAGUUCCCGUUUUAUCAUUAUUGGAAUCGAUUGGAAUGGCUCUUAGCUGAAGCUUCUCUCUUCUCUGAAGCUUAUUCUGAAGACUGAACAACAAGGGAAGAGGUAUAAAGCUUUGUCAAGCUUGUUAAGGUCAGAUAUUUUUGUGUGGGCCCUAUGGCCGGCUAUGCUAUCAAGUCUUGUUCAUGUUUGGCAAGAAUGUAGGUAGACUAUAGUUUCAUCAUUAAUAUGGUGGAUCAAGUGAAGAGUGUGAGCUAGAGAACUUGGUGCUGCCAUCAUCAGCUCGUCGACAAUGACACUAUAACCGAGAAAUUUAAUAUGUAUAGAUCUACACGUAUUUAAAAUGUCUACUUCUCUGUACAGGAGCAAUGGCUAAUAUCCAGCUAUCCCAACAGUGCUCCUCUUGGCUAUACUAACGGACGAGACUGGACAGUUUGAGACACAGGACUGGAGUAUGACCUGCUCAUUCGAGCGUUGCUGGGUAGCUCAGAGACAUCAAGAGAAUCUACGUUUUCUCAAGCAAUGAGUUACGAGUUGGGGCCUAGAAUCAGAGAAGUCCAGCAGCCUGCUAAAUCUUUUUGAAACGUAAUUUGAAGGCAUUCAAUCAUCCUGAAGUUGCCCUGGGUCACUGUAAUUGUGCUGCAGCACAACUGGCAACUCCCCAGGCCUUUGUGAAGCAGCUCCCUAUGUGCAUCUUUUGUGUACUCACUCUGUGCAUUUUUUCUGUGUACAAAUUUCUAUUAUUGAUUUAUUAAAUAUUUUUGCCGACCACAAAUAUACAAUGAAAAUUUGACGCAUG